UACGGAGGGAGCUAGCGUUGUUCGGAAUUACUGGGCGUAAAGCGCGCGUAGGCGGCUUUGUAAGUUAGAGGUGAGAGCCCGGAGCUCAACUCCGGAACUGCCUUUAAGACUGCAUCGCUUGAAUCCGGGAGAGGUGAGUGGAAUUCCGAGUGUAGAGGUGAAAUUCGUAGAUAUUCGGAAGAACACCAGUGGCGAAGGCGGCUCACUGGACCGGUAUUGACGCUGAGGCGCGAAAGCGUGGGGAGCAAACAGG
This 253-nucleotide ribosomal RNA is filed under the name uncultured bacterium. RNAcentral describes it as "partial 16S ribosomal RNA". It matches the Rfam family "Bacterial small subunit ribosomal RNA", at positions 524 to 776 of the family's 1533-position model. The record is from RNAcentral.